AGAGUUUGAUCCUGGCUCAGGAUGAACGCUAGCGGCAGGCCUAAUACAUGCAAGUCGGACGGUAAGCGCCCCUCGGGGGUGCGAGAGUGGCGCACGGGUGCGUAACGCGUAUGCAACCAACCCCCCGCUGCGGGACAGCCGGUGGAAACGCCGGGUAAUACCGCACGCGGUCGGAGAGAGGCAUCUCACUCCGAUGAAAGAUUCAUCGGCGGGGGACGGGCAUGCGUGCCAUUAGCUGGUUGGCGGGGGCAACGGCCCACCAAGGCUACGAUGGCUAGGGGAUCUGAGAGGACGGUCCCCACACUGGUACUGAGACACGGACCAGACUCCUACGGGAGGCAGCAGUAAGGAAUAUUGGGCAAUGGGGGGAACCCUGACCCAGCCAUGCCGCGUGAGGGAGGAAGGCCCUACGGGUUGUAAACCUCUUUUGCCGGGGGACAAGGCGCGCCAUGCGUGGGGCGUUGCGGUUACCCGGUGAAUAAGCGUCGGCUAACUCCGUGCC
RNAcentral lists this ribosomal RNA (502 nucleotides) under uncultured bacterium. RNAcentral describes it as "bacterial SSU rRNA". It matches the Rfam family "Bacterial small subunit ribosomal RNA", at positions 8 to 509 of the family's 1533-position model. The record is from RNAcentral.